ACCUUAACUUACGGUGAAUAGCCCCGGGAAAUCGGGAUUAAUACACCAUAACAUUACUGAAAGGCAUCUUUUGGCAAUUAAAGAACUUCGGUUAGAGAUGGGCAUGCGGGACAUUAGCUAGUUGGUGAGGUAACGGCUCACCAAGGCGACGAUGUCUAGGGGUCCUGAGAGGGUUAUCCCCCACACUGGUACUGAGACACGGACCAGACUCCUACGGGAGGCAGCAGUAAGGAAUAUUGGUCAAUGGGCGCAAGCCUGAACCAGCCAUGCCGCGUGCAGGAAGACGGCCCUAUGGGUUGUAAACUGCUUUUGUCAGGGAAUAAAUGUAGGUACGUGUACUUACUUGAAGGUACCUGAAGAAUAAGCAUCGGCUAACUCCGUGCCAGCAGCGGC
Molecule: ribosomal RNA, 393 nt
Filed under: uncultured bacterium
Lineage: Bacteria
Description: bacterial SSU rRNA
Rfam family: Bacterial small subunit ribosomal RNA
Source: RNAcentral